This 116-nucleotide small nuclear RNA is filed under the name Salvator merianae (Argentine black and white tegu). RNAcentral describes it as "U1 spliceosomal RNA (ENSSMRG00000011731.1)". Lineage: Eukaryota; Metazoa; Chordata; Lepidosauria; Squamata; Teiidae. The record is from RNAcentral.
AUACAUACCUGACAGGUGAGAUACAAUGAUCAUGAAAGUUAUUUUCCUGAAACGAGGUUCAUCAAUUGCACUCCAGAUGUGCAGAUUCCCAAAUGUGGAAAAUUAAGAUUGCAUCC